AGAGGAAUCGAGGUGAGCGCGGAAAUGCCAGAGGAAUCGAGGCGAGCGCGGAAAUGCCAGAGGAAUCGAAGCGUGCGAGGAAUCGCCAGAGGAAUCACUUCGCUACUGGAAACAUAAGUGUCAGAGGAAUCACUAUGCCAGAGGAAUCAAACGCCACAGAAAUCACCAUUUCUCUGUAGUCAAAGAAAUCACCAUUCCGCUGGCGAUAGCCAGAGCUGAAGCCAUUCCGCUGGCGAGAACCCCGAAUUCGGCCAGAGAGGAGAUUAUUUUCGGAGCGCGCGUCACAGCUGGAAAGUUGCCUUAUCAUGCACGAUUCUAUUGCCUUUCGAGUUCUACUUUUUAUGGCAACUUCCAUGGUGAUCCAUAGG
Molecule: long non-coding RNA, 368 nt
Filed under: Salvia miltiorrhiza (redroot sage)
Lineage: Eukaryota; Viridiplantae; Streptophyta; Magnoliopsida; Lamiales; Lamiaceae
Description: long non-coding RNA (SMIL_LNC000860)
Source: RNAcentral